GUGAGUGUAGCUCAAUUGGCAGAGCAUUGGUCUGUGGCUCCAAUGGUUGGGGGUUCAAGUCCCCUCACUCACC
Molecule: transfer RNA, 73 nt
Filed under: Caldifarciminota bacterium SM1_77
Lineage: Bacteria; Pseudomonadati; Caldifarciminota
Description: tRNA-His
Rfam family: tRNA
About the family: Transfer RNA (tRNA) molecules are approximately 80 nucleotides in length. Their secondary structure includes four short double-helical elements and three loops (D, anti-codon, and T loops).
Source: RNAcentral